CACAAACCAACUGGCCAGCUACAAGCACCUAUGCAUCCAAUGUUGCUGUGUUUCUGCCUCGGCUUGGACAGCCCAUUGUCCCAGCCCCAAUGUCAUGGCCAUUUCAGCACCUAGACCUCUAACAAAAGGCUUCAUCCUUUCCCCUUUCCAACCUCUUGGCCAUCCUCCUCUGCUUUAGCUUUCUCUGGUUAGCACCACCUCCUGAAGAAAACACAUGAACAAAUAAAAACAUUUAAUUUAUUUCCUAGAAAAACACAUCAAGAGGUCGUUAGUUUUCUUACCUGGGUUGUUACAAGCAGCAGCACUAAAAUGACUAUCAUCUUCAUCGGCAUUUUGUCAAACAGCUAGGGUGUGUUCUUUAACUGCACUCCUACUCCAUCAUUGCUUGAAAAAGGUAAUCAAGCCAUGUUCAUUUAAAUGAUGUCGAGCAACGAAAGAAGGGAGUGUUGUUGAGAGUUGAAGCAAAACUGGAAUCAAACAAACUAGUAUAAGAUAUGGAAAGCCAAAGCUGUUACUUAAAUUGCCCUCUUCGGUCAUCCACUUCUUCUUUUAAAUUCCUCGGUCUGAG
Molecule: long non-coding RNA, 568 nt
Filed under: Populus tremula
Lineage: Eukaryota; Viridiplantae; Streptophyta; Magnoliopsida; Malpighiales; Salicaceae
Description: long non-coding RNA (PTRE_LNC001919)
Source: RNAcentral